This 421-nucleotide unclassified non-coding RNA is filed under the name soil metagenome. RNAcentral's name for it is "partial contains 5.8S ribosomal RNA, internal transcribed spacer 2, and large subunit ribosomal RNA". The stretch from base 1 to 120 matches the Rfam family "5.8S ribosomal RNA", at positions 35 to 154 of the family's 154-position model. The record is from RNAcentral.
GAUGAAGAACGCAGCGAAAUGCGAUACGUAAUGUGAAUUGCAGAAUUCAGUGAAUCAUCGAAUCUUUGAACGCAUAUUGCGCUCUUUGGUAUUCCGAAGAGCAUGCUUGUUUGAGUAUCAGUAAACACCUCAACCUCUUCUUGAUUUUUCAAAAGGAGGGUGGACUUGAGCUAUCCCAACAACCUUUACCGGUCGGCGGGCGGCUUGAAAUGCAGGUGCAGCUGGACUUUUAUCUGAGCUAAAAGCAUAUCUAUUUAGUCCUCGUCAAACAGGAUUAUUACCUUUGCUGCAGCUAACAUAAAGGAUAAUUGUCCUCUUUGCUGACUGAUGCAGGAUUUUACGACACUUUAUGUGUUGUUCAACUCGAUCUCAAAUCAAGCAAGACUACCCGCUGAACUUAAGCAUAUCAAUAAGCGGAGGA